AUUGAACGCUGGCGGCAGGCCUAACACAUGCAAGUCGAGCGGCAGCGGGAAAGUAGCUUGCUACUUUUGCCGGCGAGCGGCGGACGGGUGAGUAAUGCCUGGGGAUCUGCCCAGUCGAGGGGGAUAACUACUGGAAACGGUAGCUAAUACCGCAUACGCCCUACGGGGGAAAGCAGGGGACCUCCGGGCCUUGCGCGAUUGGAUGAACCCAGGUGGGAUUAGCUAGUUGGUGAGGUAAUGGCUCACCAAGGCGACGAUCCCUAGCUGGUCUGAGAGGAUGAUCAGCCACACUGGAACUGAGACACGGUCCAGACUCCUACGGGAGGCAGCAGUGGGGGAUAUUGCACAAUGGGGGAAACCCUGAUGCAGCCAUGCCGCGUGUGUGAAGAAGGCCUUCGGGUUGUAAAGCACUUUCAGCGAGGAGGAAAGGUUGGUAGCUAAUAACUGCCAGCUGUGACGUUACUCGCAGAAGAAGCACCGGCUAACUCCGUGCCAGCAGCCGCAGUAA
Molecule: ribosomal RNA, 508 nt
Filed under: uncultured bacterium
Lineage: Bacteria
Description: partial 16S ribosomal RNA
Rfam family: Bacterial small subunit ribosomal RNA
Source: RNAcentral